GAUCCUGGCUCAGAUUGAACGCUGGCGGCAGGCCUAAUACAUGCAAGUCGAACGGUAACAUAGGAAAAGCUUGCUUUCCUGAUGACGAGUGGCGGACGGGUGAGUAAAGUUGGGAAGCUACCUGAUAGAGGGGGACAACAGUUGGAAACGACUGCUAAUACCGCAUACAGCCUGAGGGUGAAAGCAGCAAUGCGCUAUCAGAUGCGCCCAAAUGGGAUUAGCUAGUAGGUGAGGUAAAGGCUCACCUAGGCGACGAUCUCUAGCUGGUCUGAGAGGAUGAUCAGCCACAUUGGGACUGAGACACGGCCCAGACUCCUACGGGAGGCAGCAGUAGGGAAUAUUGCACAAUGGAGGAAACUCUGAUGCCAGCCAUGCCGCGUGUGUGAAGAAGGCCUUCGGGUUGUAAAGCACUUUCGGAGGGGAGGAGAAUGACGUUACCCUCAGAAGAAGCACCGGCUAACUCCGUGCCAGCAGCUGC
This 478-nucleotide ribosomal RNA is filed under the name uncultured bacterium. Its description in RNAcentral is "bacterial SSU rRNA". It matches the Rfam family "Bacterial small subunit ribosomal RNA", at positions 15 to 518 of the family's 1533-position model. The record is from RNAcentral.